RNAcentral lists this ribosomal RNA (138 nucleotides) under uncultured eukaryote. Its description in RNAcentral is "partial 18S ribosomal RNA". It matches the Rfam family "Eukaryotic small subunit ribosomal RNA", at positions 1299 to 1458 of the family's 1831-position model. The record is from RNAcentral.
UGGUGGAGUGAUUUGUCUGGUUAAUUCCGAUAACGAACGAGACCUUAACCUGCUAAAUAGUCAGGCUGGCUUUGGCUGGUCGCAGACUUCUUAGAGGGACUGUCAGUGUCUAACUGACGGAAGUUUGAGGCAAUAACA